This 275-nucleotide microRNA precursor is filed under the name Oryza sativa Japonica Group (Japanese rice). RNAcentral describes it as "MIR821 microRNA precursor family". It matches the Rfam family "MIR821 microRNA precursor family". Lineage: Eukaryota; Viridiplantae; Streptophyta; Magnoliopsida; Poales; Poaceae. The record is from Rfam by way of RNAcentral.
AAUUUCAGUUGAAAAAGUCAUCAACAACAAAAGUUGUAUAACUUAUCAAGAUCUAUAACUUUUAUUUUGGUCAUUUCUUCAUCCGACAAAGUGAUAGUAACAUUUUCACAAAAUUUACAUAUCUCUCUUAUAGUUUAGAAAACCAUAUAAGAGAUAUGUAAAUUUUGUGAACUAUGUUAUUAUCACUUUGUCGGAUGAAGAAAUGACUAAAAUAAAAGUUAAAGAUCUUGAUGAGUUAUAUAACUUUGUUGUUGAUGACUUUUUCAGCUGAAAUC